GUCAUCUCUGGGAAAGACUGCUAUCUUCCUGACAGCUGGAGGGUCCACUCCCAUACAGUAGACGAAGUCUGCGAGGCUAAAUGCUGGCUAACUUCUUUAUAAACCUAUAAAUAACUGCACUUUAUUCUUUCCGAAAAGGAAACAAUGGAGACCGACGCAGUGUUCUUCACUGAUCACAGUGGACGAAUCACCAGUAACCCACUGCUGGACCAGCUCCCUAGCUACCAGUCCCUUCUGUACCGCAGAAAGUCAUCAGUUAGCGGCCCCAAACGAAGAAGCAGCUCCAGAGGGCGGCUCGGCUCCUCUAGCAGUGGGAAAUGGAACAUGAGCACCUUCACCAGACCUUUUGAGAAACAGAAGAGUCAAGUCACGGAGCAGCAGCCCAUCAGAGAACUCGCCAAGCCCAUGGCUGAGAAACGCAGGGACAAAACACAGCGCCUGGAAGAGGCUCAAGAGUUAACCAACUGGAGACAGUGGAGGCAAAGCAGCCACAGGUAUCUGAGGAGGCUCAGGGAUGAUGCCCAGGAGUGGCUGAGCUCCAUGAAGCUCUGGAGGGGUGACAUCCACCUGAUAGAAGGGAUGUUCGGCACAGGGAUCCUGUCUUACUUCUCCUUCCUUCGCUUUCUGGUCGUGCUGAACUUGAUUAUCUUUCUGAUCAAGUUCAGCUUUGUCAUGUUGCCCAUCAUCAUUGCCCCCUACGCUUCAGGGAAUAUCACUUACAACCUAAAUGAUGCUGGUGUGUGCAGCGUUUAUCCAAGCAGCGCCCGUCGAGGUCUUGUCAUCUUUCAUGAGCACAUUACAGAUCUGCUGUCUGGUGGAGGCUUUCUGGAACAGACCUAUCUUUUCUACGGCUACUACAAGGUGGACAAGAUCCAUUUUACAAACGUCACUUAUAAUUUGGCUCUGGCAUACCUGCUGUCCACUAUAGCAUACCUCUUCCUCAGUCUUAUCUGGAUUGUUAAAAGGUCUGCCAGAGGAUUUAAACGUAACCUGGUUCAGGAUGAGGAUCGCUUUCAGAGUUUUUGCAACAAGAUCUUUGCUGGCUGGGAUUUCUGCAUCACCAACGAGAACGCAGCAAGGCUGAAAAGAAGCAGUUUGCUUUAUGAGCUCAAGACGGAUCUGGAGGAGGAGAGAAUAAAACAGAAAAUAGCAGAUCGCACCCGCAAAGAGAAGUGUCGGAUUUACCUCAUCCGUCUCAUCCUCAACCUUUUUGUCAUUGGUGUCCUGGCUGCUUGCUUCUACAGCAUUUAUGUAGCCACCAUCUUCUCCCAGGAAGCACAAAUGACAAAAAUAAAGGUGAAUUUCAUUGUGGAUCUCAUCUAUGAAUAUCUGCCCUCAAUUGUUAUCACGUUGGCCAACUUCAUCACCCCCCUUCUCUUCUCCGUUAUCAUCAACUACGAGGACUACUCUCCUGCUUUUGAGAUCCGCUUCACUCUCAUGAGAUGCGUUUUCAUGCGGUUGACCAGUAUCGGGGUUUUGCUGUUCUCUCUGUGGUCUCAGAUAACUAACUGUGAAGAGGAGCCUUGUAUCUGUGGCUACAACCAUUUACUUUAUUCUUGUUGGGAGACCCGUGUGGGCCAGGAGAUGUACAAACUCACCAUCUUUGACUUCAUCACCAUUGUUGCGGUCACCAUCUUUGUGGAAUUUCCCCGCAAGCUGAUUGUGAAGCACUGUGACUGUGGCCUGGCCAAGUGGUGGGGCCAGCAGGAGUUUGCUAUUCCUCAGAACGUUCUAGAGAUCGUCUACGGUCAGACCAUCUGCUGGAUCGGCACAUUUUACUGCCCGAUGCUGCCUGCCAUCUGCACAAUCAAAUACUUCUUUAUUUUCUACAUCAAAAAGGUAUCAUUAAUAAACAACUGCCGUCCAGCCACACGGCCAUUCCGAGCAUCCAGCUCCAACUUCUUCUUCCUCGGUGUGCUGCUGAUUGGCCUGGCUCUUGCCUGUCUUCCUGUCACAGUUAGUGUAGCACAAAUAAACUGUUCCCAUGCUUGUGGACCGUUUGUUAAUUUCAAUACCUCCUGGGAGGUGCUGCCAACUACAGUAUCCCAGCUACCCAGUGGAGCCCAAACACUCCUCUUUGCUCUCUCAUCAGAGGCCUUUGCUGUCUCCUUCUUUGUAGUUACAUGUUUGGCCAUGUUUUAUGUGAUUGCAUUAGCGGGAGCACACAAGAGAGUCAUUAACCAACUGAGGGAUCAGCUAGCUAUGGAGGGUCGUGACAAACGAUUCCUGAUCCAGAAGUUGUGCCAGGCCCAGAGGCUCUCACCUGUCAGAUCCCCGGUGUCCAAAUCUAAGCCCCGCAGCCCCAGCUACCACACCAGCUUCUCCAGCAAUUUCAGCGAGGGAGUGUUCCUGGCACACUCACCUCCUGACUCCUCCACACAUGUGUGAGGCAAGUGCCCAAUUGUAGAGAACGAAAUAUACAGCAAUUGCAAGCUGUUUCAAUUAUUUCUUUAAGAGUUUUUUUGUUUUUUUUUACUGUGAAAACACUACAUUUUGGGAGCUACUCUGAACCUGCUGACAGUGUUCUUUCGUUGACAAUACGAAAAUUGUAAAACUAUUAAGAAGCGGAACUAUUUUUAAACCAAAACAAUCAUUCCUGGUCACCUGUGGUGUUUUCUCGUACUGUCUGUACUGUCAUUUUUUCCUUCUGAGAAGGACUUGCUUUAAACUACUGGACUUGUUCAUAAAGGCUUUCUAAAUUUUAUGCACUUUAAAUGUGUUAACACUAGAUUUUCCUCCUACUUCUGUGUUAACAGUACUAUAUAUUUGUUGUAUGUGCAUCUAACAAUUAUAGCAUUGUGAAUCACUCUGUUGCAUAAUAAUGCAAAUAACUAAUUUCAAAACACUAAACUGUAAUAAUGUUUUUUUUAACAAAAGUGUGACUGUAACUUCAACAUAUCUUUUGGAUAGUGGGUAUUUUGGUACUAUUGAUAAUGUUUUGGUCAAAUUUAAGGGAAAAUGCUGUUUAACUUAUGAUACCUUGAUAUGACUGUGGUGACUACUUUUUAUGUGAAACCAUAGACAUAAAAAAAUAAAUAUUUGUUUUUUAUCAGCAGCAGUGUUCAAAUGAUCCAAUGUCUCACCAAAACACAUUUUUGCAUGGAGGCUUUUAAUUAUUUCAUCUAUCAUCAGUCACCUGACAUCACAUGAAAACAAACUCAAUUGCAGGCUUUUAGGUUAUUUAAUCAGCUGUUAAGCUUCUAGUCAUGAUCAGUUACCUACAUGUUUACUCAUUUUCAGGGAAAGAUAAUGCUAAUGUGAUCAGGUUACAGGGUGACCAGCACUGUUCCCUCUAAGCUGCGCGCGUGCGCAAUUGCGCACUGCUGACACGGUCUCCGCGCACAGAAAAUCUCCACUGCACAAAAAAAACUCCAACCUAAAUUGUAAAUAAAAUAAACACGUAACAAUUCAUUCUGUUCUAUUUUUCAGUGUGAGUCAGUGAGUGACCGGUGACUGGCUGCUGCAGCCAAUGAUGCGAUUCACAUACGUAUUUACCAUAGACUGUAUAUAAUGGUAUUUACGCAGCUAAUCAACGUCAGACGUCCAUGGUUCUCAUAGAUAUGAAUGAGUAGAUAGGACACGCCCCUUUGAGCUGCGGCUACAGCGAGGCUAAGCUAGUGGGGGCAAAGUUUCAGUGCAUUCUGUUGAUGUAGAUGGUGUGAAAACGGAAACAAGUAUGCCGGCUCACUGUGCUGCAUACAAUUACACACUACGUCGUACGAUUGAGACAAGGAAACAUGGAAUGACUUUUCAUAGGUUUCCCAGAGACUAUGGGUUGAGGAGGAAGUGGAAGUUUGUCGGCUUAGACCUGGUGUCAUUCCAUCAGUGUUAAACUUCCCGGCUCAUCUUGGAAGAGUACGUGCCAGAAAGACCACGACCAAGCAGCCUUGAGAUCUUAGGCAGCAUCUCCCUGAGGUGGGUGUCGACGGUGUUCACGGCCAGGUCUGUGGUAAUCCCGUCAAAAAACAAAACAGAAAAAACAUCUAGAUUAUAAAUCAACAUGUAACCAAAGCACUCUGUGUAUAACGCCAUAGUAUAGAAUGUAGUUCAGAAAAUGUCAAAGUAUAGUAUGCUUUACUCAAGAAUAACAUAGUAUGGCCUGUAGUUCAUAGUACAGCAUGUUGGCAAGAAAACAAAACAAAACAUAGAUUAUUAUGUGGUUCAAAAAGCGCAAAAUGAUAGGAUGUUGCCUAAAAUUGUCAUGUAUGAUAUGUGGUUCAAAAAAUGUCAUAGUGCAGUAUAUUGUCAAAAAAGUAUGUAAUUCAAGAAGACAGUAUAAUAUGUCGUCUAAAAAAUGCCAUAGAAUAUUUCAUUGCACAAGUAAAAGUAUAGUAACUUUUAAAACUGUUCGAAUUCUUAUAUGUUGCUAAAAAAAACAAAAAAAAACUAAAACAAAAAAAACCCGUCAGUAAUAUGUCAAUUAAAAAAGCCUAUAGUAUAGCAUGUCGCUCUAAAAACGUCACAGUAUAGCCUUUAGUCCACAGCUGUCAGUAGGUGAGGAGCAACACAAAAACAGUUCAAACGCUGGUUUCCAGAGGGUUAGACGAGUAUUUAUUUGAAAGUGUAAGUUUACAACAACACAACAUGUGAGGGGGUUAAAAACAAAUGGGUGUUAGUAAAAUAAAAAUAAAUAAACAGAACUAAAAGUGAACUUCACGUUGACAUUGAUGGGCAUUCCAACCAGGAACAAAGUAAAAGAUAAUCAAUAUGAAAAACAACUCUUCCUGUUCACCUCUUAAAACCCAAAAACACACCGCAGUAGCAUCCUAAACUAAAACUACCAAUGUGUUCCCUGUUUUCCUUUGUGAACAAUUCAAAUGUCCCUCUCUAUCUCCCCACACAUCCACCAACCACUGGAACACAUCUCCAAAGUUCUGCCGGGCCAGCUCAGCUUCCCCUCAGAAGAAGUGACGCCACCUGCCAGAUGAAGGAGCCUUUUGAGAGGCAGCUGGCAUCGUGAUUGGACUGUACUUUGGUCUGUUCCAAUCCAGCUUCAGCUCCAGAGACGGCAGGCGGGACGAGUCAACGGAGGCCAGGUGGACGAAGGCAUGAAGCUGAGUACAAUCUAGAAAACAACAGAGGAGGAGUGCAGCAUCGUAUGUCUCUUAGAAAACAUCAUAGUAUAGCCUUUGGUAUGAAAAAAGGCCAUCAUAUACAUCAUAUAUUGUACAAAUAACAAGUCAAAGCAAAGAGACAUACAUUGUAGAAUUGUAGUAAUUGUGGGCUGACUGAUUUACUGAUUAUCAGUAUUUUAUUUUUUACUGAUUUACGGUAAUAAAUACAUUUAAAAAUGG
This is an RNA transcript of Amphiprion ocellaris (clown anemonefish), 5294 nucleotides long. It is a transcript of the gene named transmembrane channel-like protein 7, with no coding region annotated. Lineage: Eukaryota; Metazoa; Chordata; Actinopteri; Pomacentridae. The transcript is spliced from 17 exons. The record is from RefSeq and is a predicted model, not a curated record.